Molecule: ribosomal RNA, 636 nt
Filed under: uncultured Pseudomonas sp.
Lineage: Bacteria; Pseudomonadati; Pseudomonadota; Gammaproteobacteria; Pseudomonadales; Pseudomonadaceae
Description: bacterial SSU rRNA
Rfam family: Bacterial small subunit ribosomal RNA
Source: RNAcentral
CUACAAUGCAGUCGAGCGGUAGAGAGAAGCUUGCUUCUCUUGAGAGCGGCGGACGGGUGAGUAAUGCCUAGGAAUCUGCCUGGUAGUGGGGGAUAACGUUCGGAAACGGACGCUAAUACCGCAUACGUCCUACGGGAGAAAGCAGGGGACCUUCGGGCCUUGCGCUAUCAGAUGAGCCUAGGUCGGAUUAGCUAGUUGGUGAGGUAAUGGCUCACCAAGGCGACGAUCCGUAACUGGUCUGAGAGGAUGAUCAGUCACACUGGAACUGAGACACGGUCCAGACUCCUACGGGAGGCAGCAGUGGGGAAUAUUGGACAAUGGGCGAAAGCCUGAUCCAGCCAUGCCGCGUGUGUGAAGAAGGUCUUCGGAUUGUAAAGCACUUUAAGUUGGGAGGAAGGGUUGUAGAUUAAUACUCUGCAAUUUUGACGUUACCGACAGAAUAAGCACCGGCUAACUCUGUGCCAGCAGCCGCGGUAAUACAGAGGGUGCAAGCGUUAAUCGGAAUUACUGGGCGUAAAGCGCGCGUAGGUGGUUUGUUAAGUUGGAUGUGAAAUCCCCGGGCUCAACCUGGGAACUGCAUUCAAAACUGACUGACUAGAGUAUGGUAGAGGGUGGUGGAAUUUCCUGUGUAGCGUG